RNAcentral lists this transfer RNA (76 nucleotides) under Providencia rettgeri. Its description in RNAcentral is "tRNA-Arg". It matches the Rfam family "tRNA". Rfam says of the family: Transfer RNA (tRNA) molecules are approximately 80 nucleotides in length. Their secondary structure includes four short double-helical elements and three loops (D, anti-codon, and T loops). Further hydrogen bonds mediate the characteristic L-shaped molecular structure. tRNAs have two regions of fundamental functional importance: the anti-codon, which is responsible for specific mRNA codon recognition, and the 3' end, to which the tRNAs corresponding amino acid is attached (by aminoacyl-tRNA synthetases). tRNAs cope with the degeneracy of the genetic code in two manners: having more than one tRNA (with a specific anti-codon) for a particular amino acid; and 'wobble' base-pairing, i.e. permitting non-standard base-pairing at the 3rd anti-codon position. Lineage: Bacteria; Pseudomonadati; Pseudomonadota; Gammaproteobacteria; Enterobacterales; Morganellaceae. The record is from RNAcentral.
GCAUCCGUAGCUCAGCUGGAUAGAGUACUGGCUACGAACCGAGCGGUCGGAGGUUCGAAUCCUCCCGGAUGCACCA